UACGAAGGGGGCUAGCGUUGCUCGGAAUCACUGGGCGUAAAGCGCACGUAGGCGGAUUGUUAAGUCAGGGGGUGAAAUCCUGGAGCUCAACUCCAGAACUGCCUUUGAUACUGGCGAUCGUUGAGUCCGGGAGAGGUGAGUGGAACUCCGAGUGUAGAGGUGAAAUUCGUAGAUAUUCGGAAGAACACCAGUGGCGAAGGCGGCUCACUGGCCCGGUACUGACGCUGAGGUGCGAAAGCGUGGGGAGCAACAGG
This 254-nucleotide ribosomal RNA is filed under the name uncultured bacterium. RNAcentral's name for it is "partial 16S ribosomal RNA". It matches the Rfam family "Bacterial small subunit ribosomal RNA", at positions 524 to 775 of the family's 1533-position model. The record is from RNAcentral.